RNAcentral lists this ribosomal RNA (2261 nucleotides) under Pantoea dispersa. RNAcentral's name for it is "partial 23S ribosomal RNA". It matches the Rfam family "Bacterial large subunit ribosomal RNA", at positions 690 to 2925 of the family's 2925-position model. Lineage: Bacteria; Pseudomonadati; Pseudomonadota; Gammaproteobacteria; Enterobacterales; Erwiniaceae. The record is from RNAcentral.
GGGCGUUAAGUUGCAGGGUAUAGACCCGAAACCCGGUGAUCUAGCCAUGGGCAGGUUGAAGGUUGGGUAACACUAACUGGAGGACCGAACCGACUAAUGUUGAAAAAUUAGCGGAUGACUUGUGGCUGGGGGUGAAAGGCCAAUCAAACCGGGAGAUAGCUGGUUCUCCCCGAAAGCUAUUUAGGUAGCGCCUCGUGAACUCAUCUCCGGGGGUAGAGCACUGUUUCGGCUAGGGGGCCAUCCCGGCUUACCAACCCGAUGCAAACUGCGAAUACCGGAGAAUGUUAUCACGGGAGACACACGGCGGGUGCUAACGUCCGUCGUGAAGAGGGAAACAACCCAGACCGCCAGCUAAGGUCCCAAAGUCAUGGUUAAGUGGGAAACGAUGUGGGAAGGCACAGACAGCCAGGAUGUUGGCUUAGAAGCAGCCAUCAUUUAAAGAAAGCGUAAUAGCUCACUGGUCGAGUCGGCCUGCGCGGAAGAUGUAACGGGGCUAAACCAUGCACCGAAGCUGCGGCAGCGACACUAUGUGUUGUUGGGUAGGGGAGCGUUCUGUAAGCCGCUGAAGGUGUGCUGUGAGGCACGCUGGAGGUAUCAGAAGUGCGAAUGCUGACAUAAGUAACGAUAAAGCGGGUGAAAAGCCCGCUCGCCGGAAGACCAAGGGUUCCUGUCCAACGUUAAUCGGGGCAGGGUGAGUCGACCCCUAAGGCGAGGCUGAAAAGCGUAGUCGAUGGGAAACAGGUUAAUAUUCCUGUACUUGGUGUUACUGCGAAGGGGGGACGGAGAAGGCUAGGUUAUCCGGGCGACGGUUGUCCCGGUUUAAGCGUGCAGGUGUGAAGACCAGGCAAAUCCGGUCUUCUUUAACACUGAGGCGUGAUGACGAGCCGCCACGGCGGUGAAGUAACUGAUGCCCUGCUUCCAGGAAAAGCCUCUAAGCUCCAGGUAACACGAAAUCGUACCCCAAACCGACACAGGUGGUCAGGUAGAGAAUACCAAGGCGCUUGAGAGAACUCGGGUGAAGGAACUAGGCAAAAUGGUGCCGUAACUUCGGGAGAAGGCACGCUGGCGCGUAGGUGAAGGGACUUGCUCCCGGAGCCGAAGCCAGUCGAAGAUACCAGCUGGCUGCAACUGUUUAUUAAAAACACAGCACUGUGCAAACACGAAAGUGGACGUAUACGGUGUGACGCCUGCCCGGUGCCGGAAGGUUAAUUGAUGGGGUUAUCCGCAAGGAGAAGCUCUUGAUCGAAGCCCCGGUAAACGGCGGCCGUAACUAUAACGGUCCUAAGGUAGCGAAAUUCCUUGUCGGGUAAGUUCCGACCUGCACGAAUGGCGUAAUGAUGGCCAGGCUGUCUCCACCCGAGACUCAGUGAAAUUGAAAUCGCUGUGAAGAUGCAGUGUACCCGCGGCAAGACGGAAAGACCCCGUGAACCUUUACUAUAGCUUGACACUGAACAUUGAGCCUUGAUGUGUAGGAUAGGUGGGAGGCUUUGAAGCGCGGACGCCAGUCUGCGUGGAGCCAACCUUGAAAUACCACCCUUUAAUGUUUGAUGUUCUAACGUAGGCCCGUAAUCCGGGCUGCGGACAGUGUCUGGUGGGUAGUUUGACUGGGGCGGUCUCCUCCCAAAGCGUAACGGAGGAGCACGAAGGUUGGCUAAUCCUGGUCGGACAUCAGGAGGUUAGUGCAAUGGCAUAAGCCAGCUUGACUGCGAGAGUGACGGCUCGAGCAGGUGCGAAAGCAGGUCAUAGUGAUCCGGUGGUUCUGAAUGGAAGGGCCAUCGCUCAACGGAUAAAAGGUACUCCGGGGAUAACAGGCUGAUACCGCCCAAGAGUUCAUAUCGACGGCGGUGUUUGGCACCUCGAUGUCGGCUCAUCACAUCCUGGGGCUGAAGUAGGUCCCAAGGGUACGGCUGUUCGCCGUUUAAAGUGGUACGCGAGCUGGGUUUAGAACGUCGUGAGACAGUUCGGUCCCUAUCUGCCGUGGGCGCUGGAGAAUUGAGGGGGGUUGCUCCUAGUACGAGAGGACCGGAGUGAACGCACCGCUGGUGUUCGGGUUGUCAUGCCAAUGGCACUGCCCGGUAGCUAAGUGCGGAAGAGAUAAGUGCUGAAAGCAUCUAAGCACGAAACUUGCCCCGAGAUGAGUUCUCCCUGACCCUUUAAGGGUCCUGAAGGGACGUUGAAGACGACGACGUUGAUAGGCCGGGUGUGUAAGCGCAGCGAUGCGUUGAGCUAACCGGUACUAAUGACCCGUGAGGCUUAACCUU